Molecule: long non-coding RNA, 430 nt
Organism: Helianthus annuus (common sunflower)
Lineage: Eukaryota; Viridiplantae; Streptophyta; Magnoliopsida; Asterales; Asteraceae
Exons: 4
Source: RefSeq, a predicted model, not a curated record
GGGAGGACCGUGGAAUAUCCCCCCCCCCCACCCACUUGCUGAAGAAAAAGAAAAUGAGCAGCGCAGAAGGCUGCAAUCAAAGGUCACCAACAGUGACUGGAUAAUCCUCGAUACUCAUCUGUUAAAGGGAGAAAUUGAAGGAAAGAGAGCGGGUAUUGCGUAAGCGAAAAGAACAAGAAGAACAAGAGUGCGUUCUAAAGCUCUCAGAAAGGAAGCUAUCAAGCAUUACUUGUAGAAACAAUUAAAGAUCCACAGGCUAUGGUAAAUUCACCAGGUUCUUCAUCUCUUCCUAGUCCUCCUGUUCCUGCUAGUUCUGGUCUGGUCCUUCAUUUUCAUACAACAUUCCGCAAGCCGAUAUUGUUUCAUUUCAGUCGACAAUGGUGGCUGACUCAGCAAAGUCUGAAGCGCCAAAAAAUGUCUCAACUUCUGC